UAGGGAAUAUUGCGCAAUGGAGGAAACUCUGACGCAGCGACGCCGCGUGGGUGAUGAAGGCUUUCGGGUCGUAAAGCCCUGUCGGAAGGGAAGAAAAACGGUUUGGCUAACAUCCAAGCCGCUUGACGGUACCUUCAGAGGAAGCACCGGCUAACUACGUGCCAGCAGCCGCGGUAAUACGUAGGGUGCCAGCGUUGUUCGGAAUCAUUGGGCGUAAAGCGCGUGUAGGUGGCUUGCUAAGUCGAGUGUGAAAUCCCUGGGCUCAACCGAGGAAGUGCAUUCGAAACUAGCUCGCUCGAGGAUGGCAGAGGAAGGUGGAAUUCCAAGUGUAGAGGUGAAAUUCGUAGAUAUUUGGAGGAAUACCGGCGGCGAAGGCGGCCUUCUGGACCAUUCCUGACAC
This 400-nucleotide ribosomal RNA is filed under the name uncultured bacterium. Its description in RNAcentral is "bacterial SSU rRNA". It matches the Rfam family "Bacterial small subunit ribosomal RNA", at positions 355 to 746 of the family's 1533-position model. The record is from RNAcentral.